RNAcentral lists this ribosomal RNA (164 nucleotides) under Dendrobium ochreatum. RNAcentral's name for it is "5.8S ribosomal RNA". It matches the Rfam family "5.8S ribosomal RNA". Rfam says of the family: 5.8S ribosomal RNA (5.8S rRNA) is a component of the large subunit of the eukaryotic ribosome. It is transcribed by RNA polymerase I as part of the 45S precursor that also contains 18S and 28S rRNA. Functionally, it is thought that 5.8S rRNA may be involved in ribosome translocation. The record is from RNAcentral. Lineage: Eukaryota; Viridiplantae; Streptophyta; Magnoliopsida; Asparagales; Orchidaceae.
UACACGACUCUCGGCAAUGGAUAUCUCGGCUCUCGCAUCGAUGAAGAGCGCAGCGAAAUGCGAUACGUGGUGUGAAUUGCAGAAUCCCGCGAACCAUCGAGUCUUUGAACGCAAGUUGCGCCCGAGGCCAACCGGCUAAGGGCACGUCUGCCUGGGCGUCAAUC